Molecule: non-coding RNA, 21 nt
Filed under: Arabidopsis thaliana (thale cress)
Lineage: Eukaryota; Viridiplantae; Streptophyta; Magnoliopsida; Brassicales; Brassicaceae
Source: RNAcentral
UCCCUGUCGCUCUGUAGUUCC